UUUAUUUCUAUAGCUGUAGAAUUGAAGUUCUCUCAAUUUUGAUAUUUGUUUAGCAGAAAGUGAAUGAAGUAAAAUUUAUUUUUAUUUUUAUUUUUUUUUAUAGUAAUUGACUUCAAUCUGGAAUGGACUGAAAUUAAUUACGGAAUUUUAGUGAGUUUGAGUUUCAACUGAAAGUAACGUUGUGGUAAAUAAAAUAACAUAAAUAGAUAUUUACGAUCGAAAAUUAGUUCACUUCUCUCCACUUUUGAUAAAACAAACACACCCUUAUCUGAAAGUUGCUACUAUUCAUGAUUCACCGGUUCACUUAGAAUCUUGAAAUAAAAGGAAUGGUGAUUAUUUUUAUCUUUCCCUCUUAAAGAAUAGAUAUUGCCAAAGUAGUCAGAGCAAAAUAAUUCAAAUCAUCAGGAGAUACAAUAUAUUUAUUCUACUAAUAGCCAAACUUACUAUAACAAUAUCAAUUCGCUCUCAACAAUACUCAUAAUUACCGACCGUCCCUAGAGCAAGUGGUAAAGGGCUUGGUGAUUGGUACUCGAAAUCCAAAUUCGAAUCCUAGUUGAUUCACAUUUCUAGCUAAGUUUAUUUCUGAAUGAAAUAAACGAAGCAGAUAGCAUGCUACCUAUCUCUCAAAAAAAAAAACAAAAAAACAAUACUCAUAAUUAUAAAUAAUAAUAAUAAUAAUAAUAAUAAUUAGAAUAAUGCUACUAGCACACUUAUAAAUAUGAUAUAAAUCUCACAUCCUAUAUAU
RNAcentral lists this long non-coding RNA (745 nucleotides) under Ananas comosus (pineapple). Its description in RNAcentral is "long non-coding RNA (ACOM_LNC042382)". The record is from RNAcentral. Lineage: Eukaryota; Viridiplantae; Streptophyta; Magnoliopsida; Poales; Bromeliaceae.